Molecule: ribosomal RNA, 253 nt
Filed under: uncultured bacterium
Lineage: Bacteria
Description: partial 16S ribosomal RNA
Rfam family: Bacterial small subunit ribosomal RNA
Source: RNAcentral
UACAGAGGGGGCCAGCGUUAUUCGGAAUUAUUGGGCGUAAAGGGCGCGUAGGCGGCCAUGCGUGUCUUCCGUGAAAUCCCUCGGCUCAACCGAGGACGUGCGGAAGAAACUGCAAGGCUCGAGUCCGGAAGAGGGGGGCGGAAUUCCCAGUGUAGCGGUGAAAUGCGUAGAUAUUGGGAGGAACACCAGUGGCGAAGGCGGUCCCCUGGGCCAGAACUGACGCUGAGGCGCGAAAGCGUGGGUAGCAAACGGG